This 285-nucleotide long non-coding RNA is filed under the name Homo sapiens (human). Its description in RNAcentral is "HSALNT0369805". The record is from RNAcentral. Lineage: Eukaryota; Metazoa; Chordata; Mammalia; Primates; Hominidae.
UUUUUUUUUUUUUAAUUCUUCAGCUAAAACAGUGGAAAAGGUGAUUUAUUAUAUGGUUGUUACACUCGGCCACAAAUAAACACAGAAAUAGUCCAGAAUGUCACAGGUCCAGGGCAGAGGACCAACAUGGGCAUUUUGUUUAUGAGCAAGGUGGGUCUCAGAGGUGAUCGGCGAUCAGAGGUAGCAUGCAGUCCCACAACUUGUACCAGCAUCCCCAGCGUCUGGCAUUCCAUGUUUCUGCUCCUGUGGCCUCCACGGUGCAACAAGCUAGCGGUUUACUUGGAC